AUUUAUUUGAAAGUAACAGAACGACUAUACAUAAAGAGUUUUAGCGUAAGCAUUCUAUAGUUUGAGUAUGCACAUAUGAGUAGCACACAUUAAAUAUGGACCGUAUAUUCAAGGGUUAAUAAUGUGAAACGAUUUU
Molecule: ribosomal RNA, 136 nt
Filed under: Chlorogonium elongatum
Lineage: Eukaryota; Viridiplantae; Chlorophyta; Chlorophyceae; Chlamydomonadales; Haematococcaceae
Description: partial ribosomal gene fragement L4
Source: RNAcentral